This 396-nucleotide ribosomal RNA is filed under the name uncultured bacterium. RNAcentral describes it as "bacterial SSU rRNA". It matches the Rfam family "Bacterial small subunit ribosomal RNA", at positions 505 to 898 of the family's 1533-position model. The record is from RNAcentral.
GUGCCAGCCGCCGCGGUAAGACGAACCGUGCGAACGUUAUUCGGAAUCACUGGGCUUAAAGCGCGUGUAGGCGGGUCGGUGCGUCGGCCGCUGAAAUCCCCCGGCUCAACCGGGGAAGGGGCGCCGAUACGACCGGCCUGGAGCGACGUAGGGGGGACUGGAACUUCCGGUGGAGCGGUGAAAUGCGUUGAGAUCGGAAGGAACGCCCGUGGCGAAAGCGAGUCCCUGGACGUCGGCUGACGCUGAGACGCGAAAGCCAGGGGAGCGAACGGGAUUAGAUACCCCGGUAGUCCUGGCCGUAAACGAUGGGCACUGGGUAGGGGGCUCGCCGAUGGGCUCCCUGCCGUAGGGAAACCGUGAAGUGCCCCGCCUGGGGAGUAUGGUCGCAAGGCUGAA